RNAcentral lists this unclassified non-coding RNA (243 nucleotides) under plant metagenome. RNAcentral describes it as "partial contains small subunit ribosomal RNA, internal transcribed spacer 1, and 5.8S ribosomal RNA". The stretch from base 195 to 243 matches the Rfam family "5.8S ribosomal RNA", at positions 1 to 49 of the family's 154-position model. The record is from RNAcentral.
UCUCCGUUGGUGAACCAGCGGAGGGAUCAUUACCGGGUUAUCAACUCCCAAACCCCUGUGAACAUACCCAACGUUGCUUCGGCGGGACCGCCCCGGCGCCCUCGGCGUCCCGGAACCAGGCGCCCGCCGGAGGACCCAAACUCUUGUUUAAACCAUAGUGGCAUAUUCUGAGUCUCACAAGAAAAAUGAAUCAAAACUUUCAACAACGGAUCUCUUGGCUCUGGCAUCGAUGAGGAACGCAGC